GAAAUUCCAAUCGAACCCGGAGAUAGCUGGUUCUCCCCGAAAUAGCUUUAGGGCUAGCGUCGGAAAGAACCUUAGUGAAGGUAGAGCACUGAAUGUGUGAUGGCCCCAUCCCGGGGUACUGAAUACAAUCAAACUGCGAAUGUCAUUAAGGAUGUCCGGCAGUCAGACUGUGAGUGAUAAGGUCCAUGGUCAAGAGGGAAACAGCCCAGACCGCCAGUUAAGGUCCCAAAAUACAGGCUAAGUGGAAAAGGAUGUGGGGAUGCCCAGACAACUAGGAGGUUGGCUCAGAAGCAGCCAUCCUUUAAAGAGUGCGUAACAGCUCACUAGUCGAAUGACUCUGCGCCGAUAAUUUACCGGGGCUAAGCAUACUACCGAAGCUAUGGAUCCCAAGGGAUGGUAGGGGAGCGUUCCAUGAACGGAGAAGUACGACCGAAAGGACGUGUGGAGAUCAUGGAAGAGAGAAUGCCGGUGUGAGUAGCGGAACGUGGGUGAGAAUCCCACGCACCGAAAACCCAAGGUUUCCAGAGGAAGGUUCGUCCGCUCUGGGUAAGUCGGGACCUAAGGCGAGGCCGAAAGGCGUAGUCGAUGGACAACAGGUAGAGAUUCCUGUACCCGUAUAUAUGUGAAGGAAUGACGGAGAGAGGAAGCUGCAGCCAGCGGCUGGAAGAGCUGGUGCAAGCGAGAUAUCGGGAUGGCAGGCAAAUCCACCAUCCGAAACGAGAAGGCGUGAAGCGUACGGAAAGCUACGGCGAGUACGGAAGGCAGUGGAGGAACUUCCAAGAAAAGUUUCUAACGUUAAGUAUAUAUGGCCCGUACCGAAAAUGGACACACAUGGGUGAGGAGAGAAUCCUAAGGUGAGCGAGAGAACUAUAGCUAAGGAACUCUGCAAAAUGACUCCGUAACUUAGGGAGAAGGAGUGCUCAUAGAGAUAUGAGCCGCAGUGAAACGGCCCAAGCGACUGUUUACCAAAAACACAGCUCUCUGCUAAGCCGCAAGGCGAAGUAUAGGGGGUGACGCCUGCCCGGUGCUGGAAGGUUAAGGGGAGGGGUUAACGCAAGUGAAGCCCUGAACUGAAGCCCCAGUAAACGGCGGCCGUAACUAUAACGGUCCUAAGGUAGCGAAAUUCCUUGUCAGGUAAGUUCUGACCCGCACGAAAGGCGUAACGAUUUGGGCGCUGUCUCAGCUGUAGACUCGGUGAAGUCUUAGUACCUGUGAAGAUGCAGGUUGCCCGCGACUAGACGGAAAGACCCCAUGGAGCUUCACUGCAGGUUGACAUUGGGCUUGGAUGCAUGAUGUACAGGAUAGGUGGGAGGCUGUGAGCCGUGCGCGCCAGCGUACGGGGAGCCGCUGUUGGGAUACCACCCUUCAUGCAUCUAGGUCCUAACCGGAGGCAACGGGCCACGGGACAGUGUCAGUCGGGCAGUUUGACUGGGGCGGUCGCCUCCCAAAGAGUAACGGAGGCGCCCAAAGAUACCCUCAGCAUGGAUGGAAACCAUGCAUAGAGUGCAAAGGCAUAAGGGUGUCUGACUGCGAGACAUACAGGUCGAGCAGGGACGAAAGUCGGGCUUAGUGAUCCGGCGGAUCCGAAUGGAAGGGCCGUCGCUCAACGGAUAAAAGCUACCCUGGGGAUAACAGGCUGAUCUCCCCCAAGAGUUCACAUCGACGGGGAGGUUUGGCACCUCGAUGUCGGCUCAUCGCAUCCUGGAGCUGAAGUCGGUUCCAAGGGUUGGGCUGUUCGCCCAUUAAAGCGGUACGCGAGCUGGGUUCAGAACGUCGUGAGACAGUUCGGUCCCUAUCUGUCGUGGGCGCAGGAAAUUUGAGAAGAGCUGUCCUCAGUACGAGAGGACCGGGAUGGACGCAUCAAUGGUGGACCAGUUGUCACGCCAGUGGCAUAGCUGGGUAGCUAAAUGCGGAAGGGAUAAACGCUGAAGGCAUCUAAGUGUGAAACCCACUUCAAGAUGAGAUUUCCCAUUGCGCAAGCAAGUAAGACCCCUUAAAGACGAUAAGGUAGAUAGGUCAGGAGUGUAAGCAUGGUGACAUGUUAAGCGGACUGAUACUAAUAGGUCGAGGGCUUGACCGA
RNAcentral lists this ribosomal RNA (2080 nucleotides) under human gut metagenome. RNAcentral's name for it is "bacterial LSU rRNA". It matches the Rfam family "Bacterial large subunit ribosomal RNA", at positions 823 to 2925 of the family's 2925-position model. The record is from RNAcentral.